RNAcentral lists this ribosomal RNA (1291 nucleotides) under Enterococcus faecium. Its description in RNAcentral is "bacterial SSU rRNA". It matches the Rfam family "Bacterial small subunit ribosomal RNA", at positions 93 to 1325 of the family's 1533-position model. The record is from RNAcentral. Lineage: Bacteria; Bacillati; Bacillota; Bacilli; Lactobacillales; Enterococcaceae.
GAGUGGCGAACGGGUGAGUAACACGUGGGUAACCUGCCCAUCAGAAGGGGAUAACACUUGGAAACAGGUGCUAAUACCGUAUAACAAUCGAAACCGCAUGGUUUUGAUUUGAAAGGCGCUUUCGGGUGUCGCUGAUGGAUGGACCCGCGGUGCAUUAGCUAGUUGGUGAGGUAACGGCUCACCAAGGCCACGAUGCAUAGCCGACCUGAGAGGGUGAUCGGCCACAUUGGGACUGAGACACGGCCCAAACUCCUACGGGAGGCAGCAGUAGGGAAUCUUCGGCAAUGGACGAAAGUCUGACCGAGCAACGCCGCGUGAGUGAAGAAGGUUUUCGGAUCGUAAAACUCUGUUGUUAGAGAAGAACAAGGAUGAGAGUAACUGUUCAUCCCUUGACGGUAUCUAACCAGAAAGCCACGGCUAACUACGUGCCAGCAGCCGCGGUAAUACGUAGGUGGCAAGCGUUGUCCGGAUUUAUUGGGCGUAAAGCGAGCGCAGGCGGUUUCUUAAGUCUGAUGUGAAAGCCCCCGGCUCAACCGGGGAGGGUCAUUGGAAACUGGGAGACUUGAGUGCAGAAGAGGAGAGUGGAAUUCCAUGUGUAGCGGUGAAAUGCGUAGAUAUAUGGAGGAACACCAGUGGCGAAGGCGGCUCUCUGGUCUGUAACUGACGCUGAGGCUCGAAAGCGUGGGGAGCAAACAGGAUUAGAUACCCUGGUAGUCCACGCCGUAAACGAUGAGUGCUAAGUGUUGGAGGGUUUCCGCCCUUCAGUGCUGCAGCUAACGCAUUAAGCACUCCGCCUGGGGAGUACGACCGCAAGGUUGAAACUCAAAGGAAUUGACGGGGGCCCGCACAAGCGGUGGAGCAUGUGGUUUAAUUCGAAGCAACGCGAAGAACCUUACCAGGUCUUGACAUCCUUUGACCACUCUAGAGAUAGAGCUUCCCCUUCGGGGGCAAAGUGACAGGUGGUGCAUGGUUGUCGUCAGCUCGUGUCGUGAGAUGUUGGGUUAAGUCCCGCAACGAGCGCAACCCUUAUUGUUAGUUGCCACCAUUCAGUUGGGCACUCUAGCAAGACUGCCGGUGACAAACCGGAGGAAGGUGGGGAUGACGUCAAAUCAUCAUGCCCCUUAUGACCUGGGCUACACACGUGCUACAAUGGGAAGUACCCCAAGUUCCGGAAGACUCGGAGGGGAUUCAAAUCCCUUGAAACGUCCCUCCACUUUGUGAUUCGACGGGUCACUCCUCCCGUUACUAAACCACGAACGCCCAUUUAUCGAGCAGAACCCUCAACCCCUGC